Molecule: ribosomal RNA, 484 nt
Filed under: uncultured bacterium
Lineage: Bacteria
Description: partial 16S ribosomal RNA
Rfam family: Bacterial small subunit ribosomal RNA
Source: RNAcentral
AGUGAACGCUGGCGGCAGGCCUAACACAUGCAAGUCGAGCGGCAGCGGGUCCUUUGGGAUGCCGGCGAGCGGCGGACGGGUGAGGAAUGCAUCGGAAUCUGCCCUGUCGUGGGGGAUAACCUAGGGAAACUUAGGCUAAUACCGCAUACGACCCACGGGUGAAAGCGGGGGAUCGCAAGACCUCGCGCGAUAGGAUGAGCCGAUGUCCGAUUAGCUAGUUGGCGGGGUAAAGGCCCACCAAGGCGACGAUCGGUAGCUGGUCUGAGAGGAUGAUCAGCCACACUGGGACUGAGACACGGCCCAGACUCCUACGGGAGGCAGCAGUGGGGAAUAUUGGACAAUGGGCGCAAGCCUGAUCCAGCCAUGCCGCGUGGGUGAAGAAGGCCUUCGGGUUGUAAAGCCCUUUUGUCCGGGAAGAAAUCGUCUGGGCUAAUACCCCGGGCGGAUGACGGUACCGGAAGAAUAAGCACCGGCUAACUUCGUG